AUAAAAAACUCAGGAGAGUCUUUUCGUAAUGAAAUGAAAAGCGCCGAAGGUGUAAGCAGAAAACAGAUCUGCAAAUCUCUCAGGCAAAAGGAUGGAGGAAUGAAU
Dorea longicatena CAG:42 is the source of this 105-nucleotide non-coding RNA. NCBI's taxonomy places the organism in Bacteria, Bacillati, Bacillota, Clostridia, Lachnospirales, Lachnospiraceae. The record is from Rfam.